Molecule: long non-coding RNA, 704 nt
Filed under: Homo sapiens (human)
Lineage: Eukaryota; Metazoa; Chordata; Mammalia; Primates; Hominidae
Description: HSALNT0384368
Source: RNAcentral
UUCCUGCAGUAAAAUGCAAGACGUGUGAAGGAGAAACUCCUCUUCUCCUUCCUUCUGAUGAGAGUGCUGCCCUGUGAGAACGUGAUAUGGGGUAGAUGGCAGACAUCUUGGAAGAAGGAAAGAAAGGCCAACGGAAGCACAGGGAUUGCAAACCACUGCCCUGAUACCAAAAAGCCUCUGAAUCAACCCUGGAACUGGGAGGUCUACAUAGCUCAAGCUUCACUUGGAGUUCAAUUGUGUGAUUCAGAAGCACAGCUAGGAUAAGUCAGAGACUGGAAAGGGGAAGAGGAGAGACGUGCAGGAUAUUUUUUUUUAACCAGUGAAACAACUCCCGACUUCCAGGACCAGACAAUAUACUUAAUGCACAAAACCAAUAUAUUUUAUGGCCUAAAUGAAAAAAAGUAAAGUGGAAGGUCGGGCGCUGUUCCUUUAAGAUGCUUCCAGAAUCAAAUACCACUCUUGAAAGGGCUGCCAAACAAUGUAUCCAGGUAAAGAAUGAAAAAAAUAUAUUCAGAGGAAAGGCAGGAGGAUGUGUGGAAAGCUCAGUGAGAUUAUGGAAGUGCAGUAAUUGAAUAUGACACAAGAGUCAAGUGCAAGAGGGAACUGGCUGGAGUGCAGUGGCGCAAUCUCAGCUCACUGAAACCUCCACCUCCCAGGUUCAAGUGAUUCUCCUGCCUCAGCCUCCCGAGUACCUGGGAUUCCAG